CCUACGGGGGGCAGCAGUGGGGAAUAUUGGACAAUGGGGGGAACCCUGAUCCAGCCAUGCCGCGUGUGUGAAGAAGGCCCUCGGGUUGUAAAGCACUUUCAGUGAGGAAGAACGCCUGGUGGUUAAUACCCAUCAGGAAAGACAUCACUCACAGAAGAAGCACCGGCUAACUCCGUGCCAGCAGCCGCGGUAAUACGGAGGGUGCGAGCGUUAAUCGGAAUUACUGGGCGUAAAGCGCGCGUAGGUGGCUUGAUAAGCCGGUUGUGAAAGCCCCGGGCUCAACCUGGGAACGGCAUCCGGAACUGUCAAGCUAGAGUGCAGGAGAGGAAGGUAGAAUUCCCGGUGUAGCGGUGAAAUGCGUAGAGAUCGGGAGGAAUACCAGUGGCGAAGGCGGCCCUCUGGACUGACACUGACACUGAGGUGCGAAAGCGUGGGUAGCAAACAGGAUUAGAUACCCGAGUAGUC
RNAcentral lists this ribosomal RNA (465 nucleotides) under Vreelandella stevensii. RNAcentral describes it as "partial 16S ribosomal RNA". It matches the Rfam family "Bacterial small subunit ribosomal RNA", at positions 338 to 795 of the family's 1533-position model. The record is from RNAcentral. Lineage: Bacteria; Pseudomonadati; Pseudomonadota; Gammaproteobacteria; Oceanospirillales; Halomonadaceae.